UGUGGAGGGCACUGGUGUUAGUUAAUAGUGUGCUGCUGUGGUUGCUCUUUAAUGUGCUACUGCAUUUCUGCUGUGUGCAGGAGCCAGAGUUGUGGGCUGCAAAUUCUGCUUGUUACAAACACUGGUGAUAAAGCAGAGCUCCUAUUUCAGGCAGUGCUUUCCAGGAUAAGGAUUACAUUUUUGAGGGAGGACUUGCAAGAACAGAGAGCAGAAGUUCUGUCACUGUGCAUCACUGAGAAGAGUUGAUCCAUGUCCUCUUGAUACCACAUCAUCAGAUAUUUGUCGGUAUUAAGAAGAUUCCCCUGAGCCCCAUCUUCUCCAGGAUGAACAGCCACAGCGCUCUCAGCCUUUCCUCAUAUGAGAGCUGCUCCAGUGCUAUCCCAUCUUUGUGGCCCUUCACUGGACUCAAUCCCAUAGGUUUAUGUCUUGGCAGGGGAGCCUGGAAAGAGAUCAGUACUCCAGAUACAGCCUCACUAGGGCUGAGUUGAGGUGAGGGACUACGUCCCUCGACCAUCUGGCAAUGUUCUGCAUAAUGUAGUCCAGAAGACUAUUGGCCUUCUUUACUGUGAAGGCACAUUGCUGGCUCAYGUUCAACUUGUUGCCUACCAAGACCUCAGGUCCUUCUCUGCAGAGCUGCCGCCUUUGGUUGAGGCUGCAAAGCUCAGGAAUCAUCAUCAGCACUCRGCAUGAAUCCAAAAAGAGAGGAUAAGAACUUUUCAGUUGCUCUUCCUUGCCCUCUGUGACCCAAGAAGUAAUCUUGGACAAGUAUUGGACGUUCAAUYGUUCUUUCAUACCCGUAAACUCUAAGACAUGUGAGAAACCAUGGAGAAUGAGAGUGAAUGAGGGAAAUCAGUUUCUUUUAAAAUAUAAAUCCACUUUGAUUAUAUGGCUUUUCCUUCAGUUUUUUUAACCUGUAUACUUUGUAUAAAGCCUACCAAAGCACCUGUUUUUGCUACAGUCUUUUCUGUAGCUGCCUUCAAGAAAAAAGGAUUCUUCUCCAAAUUCUGGAGGCACCUGGUGAUUUGCUGGAAUUUGUACAGUCUGCAAUAGCAAGGGUAAGGGGGAGAGUGUGGAGAGGAGGAGAAAAGAAAAAACCCUCCAACACAGCUCCUAGGCAGGGAGGUCCCUCCCCUAAAAUGAUGUGAAACAAUUUGGAGUUGAAAGUAAAUGAGCUAAUAAAUGGUACAAAGAUUAUUGACUCACCAUUAGCAAAGUUAUGUGGUGAAAUUAAGUAAUUUCAAACUAAAACUAAUCCUAUCCUGCUCCCAAUUUUGUAAUGGCCCUGUCAAGAUAUUACACUAGCUUAGUUGUUUCCUUGUAAAAUGCAUCAAUUUUUUUGAC
This is a long non-coding RNA of Nothoprocta perdicaria, 1341 nucleotides long. RefSeq lists it as uncharacterized. NCBI's taxonomy places the organism in Eukaryota, Metazoa, Chordata, Aves, Tinamiformes, Tinamidae. The transcript is spliced from 3 exons. The record is from RefSeq and is a predicted model, not a curated record.